UCCCUCACAGGAUCACAUCUGGAGAGUCUAGUCCUCUACCAGCCUUGGCUACAGGAGGGAGAGUCAAGCAGAGGCACACCCAUUCCAUUCCUAGCUUGGGCAGUGGUUAAUGAGUGGAAGGCAAUUUGCUACAAUU
Non-coding RNA from Ornithorhynchus anatinus (platypus), 136 nucleotides. The record is from Rfam. Lineage: Eukaryota; Metazoa; Chordata; Mammalia; Monotremata; Ornithorhynchidae.